UGUGUACUCCCUCCGUUCCAAAAUACUUGACUUCCAUUUGUCCAAAAAUGGAUGUACCUAUAUACUAAAACAUGUCUAGAUACAUAUAUAUUUUGACAAAUAGAAGGCAUGUAUUGUGCAACGGAGGGAGUAGAAU
This is a non-coding RNA of Triticum aestivum (bread wheat), 136 nucleotides long. NCBI's taxonomy places the organism in Eukaryota, Viridiplantae, Streptophyta, Magnoliopsida, Poales, Poaceae. The record is from Rfam.